Molecule: ribosomal RNA, 119 nt
Filed under: Pteropus alecto (black flying fox)
Lineage: Eukaryota; Metazoa; Chordata; Mammalia; Chiroptera; Pteropodidae
Source: RNAcentral
GUCUAUGGCAAUGGCACCCUGAAAGUGCCCGAUCUUGUCUGAUCUCGGAAGCUAAGCAGGGUCAGGCCUGGUUAGUACUUGGAUGGGACACCACCUAGGAAGACCAGAUGCUGUAGGUG